This 1243-nucleotide ribosomal RNA is filed under the name uncultured bacterium. Its description in RNAcentral is "bacterial SSU rRNA". It matches the Rfam family "Bacterial small subunit ribosomal RNA", at positions 8 to 1257 of the family's 1533-position model. The record is from RNAcentral.
AGAGUUUGAUCCUGGCUCAGAAUGAACGCUGGCGGCGUGCUUAACACAUGCAAGUCGCACGAGAACGCUUCAGCUUGCUGAAGCUAGUAAAGUGGCGCACGGGUGAGUAACGCGUGGGUAAUCUACCUCCAAAUUGGGGAUAACAUUGCGAAAGCGAUGCUAAUACCGAAUAAUAUCUCAAGAACUUCGGCUUUUGAGAUCAAAGGUGGCCUCUCCGUGGAAGCUACUGUUAGGAGAUGAGCCCGCGUACCAUUAGCUUGUUGGUAGGGUAAUGGCCUACCAAGGCAACGAUGGUUAGCUGGUCUGAGAGGAUGAUCAGCCACACUGGAACUGACACACGGUCCAGACUCCUACGGGAGGCAGCAGUGAGGAAUUUUGCGCAAUGGGGGAAACCCUGACGCAGCAACGCCGCGUGAGUGAUGAAGGCUUUCGGGUCGUAAAGCUCUGUCAAGUGGGAAGAACCUGCCUAGUGCUAAUAUCACCGGGCACUGACGGUACCACUGAAGGAAGCACCGGCUAACUCCGUGCCAGCAGCCGCGGUAACACGGGGGGUGCAAGCGUUAUUCGGAAUCACUGGGCGUAAAGAGCGCGUAGGCGGUCUCUUAAGUCAGAUGUGAAAGCCCGGGGCUUAACCUCGGAAGUGCAUUUGAAACGAAGGGACUUGAGUAUGGGAGAGGGAAGUGGAAUUCCUGGUGUAGCGGUGAAAUGCGUAGAUAUCAGGAGGAACACCGGUGGCGAUGGCGACUUCCUGGACCAAUACUGACGCUGAGGCGCGAAGGCGUGGGGAGCAAACAGGAUUAGAUACCCUGGUAGUCCACGCAGUAAACGUUGAACACUAGUGUAGCGGGUAUUGACCCCUGCUGUGCCGCAGCUAACGCAUUAAGUGUUCCGCCUGGGGAGUACGGCCGCAAGGCUAAAACUCAAAGGAAUUGACGGGGGCCCGCACAAGCGGUGGAGCAUGUGGUUUAAUUCGACGCACGCGAAGAACCUUACCUGGGUUUGACAUCCCGGGAAUUCUGUAGAAACACAGAAGUGCCCUUCGGGAGCCCGUGAUGUGCUGCAUGCUGUCGUCAGCUCUGUCUGAAUGUGGGUUAAGUCCGCACGAGCGCCACCCCUAUCUUAGUACAGCAUUAGUGGGACUCUUAAGAAUCUGCCGGUACCGGGAGAGGUGGGAUGACUCAAGUCCCAUGGCUUAUGUCCAGCUAACACGGCUCAAUGGCUGUUACAAAGGAUAGCGAACAUC